ACAGACGAUACCAAAGAAGAAGAAGAAGAAGAUGACGGCCUUGACAGACGUGAUCCGCUAGAACGUGCCMUCGUCGCGGUUAGGGAUUAUGCAUAUCACAGUGCGAAAAGCAGCAGAUCGCCGUUUGGUUUUAUCCCAGUGCCAGAAGGACCACUUGUAUCAUUGCCCCUUCUGCCAGCCCUCAAUUUUCAAGCCCCGAGACUAUGCCAGUGUGUUGACACACAUUGAGUCGCACAGAUUGAAGGCUGUGCUGCAUAGAGAGUUCACAAUAUUCAUAUGCCAUCUGGAGUGCAGAGAAGCAAAGCAUUUCCACUGCCCAUAUUGCCCCAAGACCUAUGUAAAUAGGAGUGAUUUUACCAAACACAUUCCACAAUGUGAGUCAGUAUGUUAUCGAGCCCCAGGUUCAACAGCGAGAGCCCCAGAUGUAACCAGUGCAUCGGCGAGAGCCCCAGAUGUAACCAGUGCAUCGGCGAGAGCCCCAGAUGUAACCAGUGCAUCGGAGAGCCCCAGAUGUAACCAGUGCAACGGCGAGAGAUCCAGGUUCAGCGUGUCCAGCUGUGAAACCUGCAGUCAAGCGGAAAAUCAAAUGUUGCAACUGCAGUUUGUGGCUUAACAAAAAAAACCUAAGGAAACAUCAACUUAGAAAGCAUACAUCUCCUGAGAAGGGUAUUACAGCUCACUCCAAUCUCAAGAGUCAGUGCCUUGACCAGGACAAUUGGGUGUUUGCAGAGGAUAAACACAUCCACCCUGUCUCUCCUCCUUCUGUGCUAAUUCGGGAAAUGCUUACCAAGCAAGAGAUGAUACUGGAACAACAGACACUCAUCCUACGACUCUUACAAACAGCACAGCAGAAUGGAGCCGAAUAUGCGAUCGAAGGAGGCCUUCUGCCAUUGAAGGAUCAACAAAGUCUCCAGAGGCUGGAAACCGAUCUUCAGGGGGCUGACUUCAAACUUAAACUGAUUAACCACUUGAGCCUCAUUGGGGGAUGCGAUGUGAAGGAUGUCAUGUGGCGUUUAAUGAGGCACACAAUUUCCAAUGCGCUGGCAAAGAACAUGAAUUGGAGAGGAGUGAAUAGGAAAAUCUCUCUUGGAUCUCUUCGACUGAGAGAGGUUUUGAUUGCUGUUGUCCGGAAGAAUCCGUUAACAUCUAAAGCAUCCGAGAGCGAUGUGGAGUCUGUCAUGAAAAAGUGGUUGCAGCUGGCAGCAUAUCGGGAAGGAGGGAGAAGGAGACGAGACAGGAGUGUGGUGGCACCUGUGCCAUGAUGGACUUGGGGAGAGGGGUUUAUUUAAGUGAUAAUGCCCAAAAAGCCGUGGUUUGGAGGACAUAUUGGCAUUCGUCUCGGGCCAGCAAACCGUGCCAAUAUGUAAUCCAAACUCUAGCUUUGAGGGCAUUAUCACUUUAAUACAAUGGUUACCAACCUAUGAAAAUAUGUAAAUCAUUAUUUUAAUUCAAUGUUAUUUUGAUGAAUUUAUUAAUAUAAUUUCCAUCCUUUCUCGAGAUAUAGUCCCAAACACAAAUCUAGGGUCGCUUGUUGUUCAUUCUAUUGGCAUCGUUGCCAGCCAAACCGGUCGUAAGUUCUAUAUGUUCAAUGCCAAGCUAGCUUAGCUGUCUAAGSUAAAUAGCUAUACUAGACCAAAUUUGAUUUGAAUCAAUUUGUUAUCCUCGCACUUUAGCUAGCUACUAUGAAAACCAGACCUACUUGCUGUCUGUCUCGUUUGGACAGUUUCUAUGAUUUGGUGGAGAUAGCAAAUCAAAAUUGUAUUUGUCACAUGCGCAGGAAAUGUUUACUUACAAGCCUUAAACCAACAAUGCCGUUUUAAGA
Salvelinus sp. IW2-2015 is the source of this 1822-nucleotide non-coding RNA. The record is from RefSeq and is a predicted model, not a curated record. NCBI's taxonomy places the organism in Eukaryota, Metazoa, Chordata, Actinopteri, Salmoniformes, Salmonidae.